AGGAUAUUGUAGACCUUUUCAUAAAGGUGUCACGAUUAGGCAUAAGGUUCUCGCCUGGAUUACGCCUUUCCGGGCGAAAGUCGUUAUUAGGUCGAGGGAAGAGGCGGAUUGGUGGCGCCUCCGUCACGCCUCGACCGGGUAAAACCGCUG
Molecule: non-coding RNA, 150 nt
Organism: Caenorhabditis elegans
Lineage: Eukaryota; Metazoa; Nematoda; Chromadorea; Rhabditida; Rhabditidae
Source: Ensembl